AAUGGCAUGUCAUCAUUUAUGCUACACUGAAUGUAAUGUGUGGACAAAUACUCCGCUUAUUGUCUGAUGCAACU
This is a non-coding RNA of Brachypodium distachyon (stiff brome), 74 nucleotides long. NCBI's taxonomy places the organism in Eukaryota, Viridiplantae, Streptophyta, Magnoliopsida, Poales, Poaceae. The record is from Rfam.